CGCUCGACGACCUGCGGGUCCGAACCGCGGGUGACCAUCAGAUAGUCACGCAUCGCGAUGCUGUGCCGACCCUC
RNAcentral lists this small RNA (74 nucleotides) under Frankia sp. AcoPraII.1. Its description in RNAcentral is "ASdes". It matches the Rfam family "ASdes TB sRNA". Lineage: Bacteria; Bacillati; Actinomycetota; Actinomycetes; Frankiales; Frankiaceae. The record is from RNAcentral.